UACGGAGGGCGCGAGCGUUAAUCGGAAUUACUGGGCGUAAAGCGCGCGUAGGCUGUUGUGUAAGUUGGGGGUGAAAUCCCACGGCUCAACCGUGGAACAGCCCUUGAUACUGCGCGACUUGAAUCCGGGAGAGGGUGGCGGAAUUCCAGGUGUAGGAGUGAGAUCCGUAGAUAUCUGGAGGAACAUCAGUGGCGAAGGCGGCCACCUGGACCGGUAUUAACGCUGAGGCGCGAAAGCGUGGGGAGCAAACAGG
This 253-nucleotide ribosomal RNA is filed under the name uncultured bacterium. Its description in RNAcentral is "partial 16S ribosomal RNA". It matches the Rfam family "Bacterial small subunit ribosomal RNA", at positions 524 to 776 of the family's 1533-position model. The record is from RNAcentral.